This 292-nucleotide ribosomal RNA is filed under the name uncultured bacterium. RNAcentral describes it as "partial 16S ribosomal RNA". It matches the Rfam family "Bacterial small subunit ribosomal RNA", at positions 505 to 796 of the family's 1533-position model. The record is from RNAcentral.
GUGCCAGCAGCCGCGGUAAUACGUAGGGUGCAAGCGUUGUCCGGAAUUACUGGGUGUAAAGGGUCCGCAGGCGGGCAAGAAAGUCGGUGGUGAAAGCUCUCCGCUCAACGGAGAGACUGCCGUCGAUACUUCUUGUCUUGAGUUCGAGAGAGGAUGAUGGAAUUCAUGGUGUAGCGGUGAAAUGCGUAGAGAUCAUGAAGAACACCGGUAGCGAAGGCGGUCAUCUGGCUCGAUACUGACGCUCAGGGACGAAAGCGUGGGUAGCAAACAGGAUUAGAAACCCUGGUAGUCC